RNAcentral lists this ribosomal RNA (962 nucleotides) under Staphylococcus aureus. RNAcentral describes it as "partial 23S ribosomal RNA". It matches the Rfam family "Bacterial large subunit ribosomal RNA", at positions 283 to 1246 of the family's 2925-position model. Lineage: Bacteria; Bacillati; Bacillota; Bacilli; Caryophanales; Staphylococcaceae. The record is from RNAcentral.
GCUUGCUUGUUGGGGUUGUAGGACACUCUAUACGGAGUUACAAAGGACGACAUUAGACGAAUCAUCCGGAAAGAUGAAUCAAAGAAGGUAAUAAUCCUGUAGUCGAAAAUGUUGUCUCUCUUGAGUGGAUCCUGAGUACGACGGAGCACGUGGAAUUCCGUCGGAAUCUGGGAGGACCAUCUCCUAAGGCUAAAUACUCUCUAGUGACCGAUAGUGAACCAGUACCGUGAGGGAAAGGUGAAAAGCACCCCGGAAGGGGAGUGAAAUAGAACCUGAAACCGUGUGCUUACAAGUAGUCAGAGCCCGUUAAUGGGUGAUGGCGUGCCUUUUGUAGAAUGAACCGGCGAGUUACGAUUUGAUGCAAGGUUAAGCAGUAAAUGUGGAGCCGUAGCGAAAGCGAGUCUGAAUAGGGCGUUUAGUAUUUGGUCGUAGACCCGAAACCAGGUGAUCUACCCUUGGUCAGGUUGAAGUUCAGGUAACACUGAAUGGAGGACCGAACCGACUUACGUUGAAAAGUGAGCGGAUGAACUGAGGGUAGCGGAGAAAUUCCAAUCGAACCUGGAGAUAGCUGGUUCUCUCCGAAAUAGCUUUAGGGCUAGCCUCAAGUGAUGAUUAUUGGAGGUAGAGCACUGUUUGGACGAGGGGCCCCUCUCGGGUUACCGAAUUCAGACAAACUCCGAAUGCCAAUUAAUUUAACUUGGGAGUCAGAACAUGGGUGAUAAGGUCCGUGUUCGAAAGGGAAACAGCCCAGACCACCAGCUAAGGUCCCAAAAUAUAUGUUAAGUGGAAAAGGAUGUGGCGUUGCCCAGACAACUAGGAUGUUGGCUUAGAAGCAGCCAUCAUUUAAAGAGUGCGUAAUAGCUCACUAGUCGAGUGACACUGCGCCGAAAAUGUACCGGGGCUAAACAUAUUACCGAAGCUGUGGAUUGUCCUUUGGACAAUGGUAGGAGAGCGUUCUAAGG